Molecule: ribosomal RNA, 433 nt
Filed under: uncultured bacterium
Lineage: Bacteria
Description: partial 16S ribosomal RNA
Rfam family: Bacterial small subunit ribosomal RNA
Source: RNAcentral
AACGAACGCUGGCGGCAUGCCUAACACAUGCAAGUCGAACGAGACCUUCGGGUCUAGUGGCGCACGGGUGCGUAACGCGUGGGAACCUGCCCUUAGGUUCGGAAUAACUCCCCGAAAGGGGUGCUAAUACCGGAGAAUGUCUUCGGACCAAAGAUUUAUCGCCUUUGGAUGGGCCCGCGUUGGAUUAGGUAGUUGGUAGGGUAAAAGCCUACCAAGGCGACGAUCCAUAGCUGGUCUGAGAGGAUGAUCAGCCACACUGGGACUGAGACACGGCCCAGACUCCUACGGGAGGCAGCAGUGGGGAAUAUUGGACAAUGGGCGAAAGCCUGAUCCAGCAAUGCCGCGUGAGUGAUGAAGGCCUUAGGGUUGUAAAGCUCUUUUACCCGGGAUGAUAAUGACAGUACCGGGAGAAUAAGCUCCGGCUAACUCCGUG